Molecule: ribosomal RNA, 219 nt
Filed under: uncultured bacterium
Lineage: Bacteria
Description: partial 16S ribosomal RNA
Rfam family: Bacterial small subunit ribosomal RNA
Source: RNAcentral
UACAGAGGGGGCAAGCGUUGUUCGGAAUUACUGGGCGUAAAGCGUGCGUAGACGGUAGCGUAAGUCAGAUGUGAAAGCCCCGGGCUCAACCUGGGAACUGCAUUUGAGACUGCUCUGCUCGGGUGCGGAAGAGGGAAGCGGAAUUUCCGGUGUAGCGGUGAAAUGCGUAGAUAUCGGAAGGAACACCAGUGGCGAAAGCGGCUUCCUGGUCCGACACCG